AAAUUGAAUAUGCUACCGUAGACAGUAGGUGCUUUAAUUAGCUUAAUUUCCUACCGAGGUUUUUGAUAUAGUGAUAUCCGUAUGGAUUUCGAUACAUCAUGCCUUCGUGUUGUCUGCGAAGGCUUUUCUAUUUG
This 134-nucleotide small RNA is filed under the name Paenibacillus senegalensis. RNAcentral describes it as "Ribosomal protein L10 leader". It matches the Rfam family "Ribosomal protein L10 leader". Rfam says of the family: This family is a putative r-protein leader autoregulatory structure found in B. subtilis and other low-GC Gram-positive bacteria. The record is from RNAcentral. Lineage: Bacteria; Bacillati; Bacillota; Bacilli; Caryophanales; Paenibacillaceae.